RNAcentral lists this ribosomal RNA (256 nucleotides) under uncultured bacterium. RNAcentral's name for it is "partial 16S ribosomal RNA". It matches the Rfam family "Bacterial small subunit ribosomal RNA", at positions 524 to 776 of the family's 1533-position model. The record is from RNAcentral.
UACGGGGGGGAGCAAGCGUUUGUUCGGAUUUACUGGGCGUAAAGGGCGCGUAGGCGGUCGUGACAAGUCACUUGUGAAAUCUCCGGGCUUAACUCGGAACGGUCAAGUGAUACUGUCGUGCUAGAGUACAGAAGGGGCAACUGGAAUUCUCGGUGUAGCGGUGAAAUGCGUAGAUAUCGAGAGGAACACCUGCGGCGAAGGCGGGUUGCUGGGCUGAUACUGACGCUGAGGCGCGAAAGCUAGGGGAGCGAACGGG